RNAcentral lists this long non-coding RNA (580 nucleotides) under Selaginella moellendorffii. RNAcentral's name for it is "long non-coding RNA (SMOE_LNC000242)". Lineage: Eukaryota; Viridiplantae; Streptophyta; Lycopodiopsida; Selaginellales; Selaginellaceae. The record is from RNAcentral.
GCUACUUCUACUUGGAUUUCUAGAGAGCAACGAGGAGAACAGCAAGAAGAGGACAAGGCGAAGACAAUUGUAAAAUAUUUCUUUUUCCAAUUGAUCAUAUUUCUUUGAAAACACGAACCUGGUAAUAGCUUCUCGUCCUCGUUCUCGCGAACAGCACAAACGUUGCUCGUUGAUGGGGUUGCGACACAAGGAAAACGAGUUAGGGAAAACCGAAGAGAACUCGAACCUGGUAAAAUGGAGCUUCUCGUUCUCGCCUUCAUGUCAACUUUGUGUCUUGGAUCGUUGUUUUCAUGUGAUCACAGCGUUGUCCAGUGAUCACCAUCUGGCUUCACCCUCCUGUCCUGUACUCAUCUUCGUCUUCCUAUCGAGUUUUAUGGUAUUGGACCGUUGUUUUCAUGACGCUUGCAUCCUUGUUAUCGUUGUUGAACAGUACCUUGUAGUCUAGAAAGUUGAACUACACUUGAUUUGUUUUGCAUUGUCCAGUGACCAUUGCGACUGUUCAGCGAUCACAACUCGUAUCAUUCUUGUCUACGUUGAGCACGGUGCGAAAAUCUCCUUUUAAGACUGUUCUUAAUCAAAC